GAAAAGAUAAAGAUGAGUAAAGUAUAUAUUUAAAAAUCUGCAGAGAGCUUUUGUAUGGUGUGAAAAAGUGAUUUGAGAAUAUAGAAAAUGGACUCUGAAUCUGUUAGCUGAAUGAUUAAGCUGACACGUAGUGGCGUACGUUAUGACCGCCGGAAGUACUUGAUUAUGAGUGCUUUUUUGAGAUGUGCUUCAACAUGCACAAAUUCGGGUGGUACCGCGUGGAUAGAUUCUUCGCCCCUAUA
Molecule: non-coding RNA, 242 nt
Filed under: Staphylococcus carnosus
Lineage: Bacteria; Bacillati; Bacillota; Bacilli; Caryophanales; Staphylococcaceae
Description: T-box sequence
Rfam family: T-box leader
About the family: Uncharged tRNA acts as the effector for transcription antitermination of genes in the T-box leader family. T-boxes are found upstream of many aminoacyl-tRNA synthetase genes and some amino acid biosynthetic genes usually in Gram-positive bacteria.
Source: RNAcentral